AGCGAACGCUGGCGGCAGGCCUAACACAUGCAAGUCGAACGAACUCUUCGGAGUUAGUGGCGGACGGGUGAGUAACACGUGGGAACGUGCCUUUUGGUUCGGAAUAACUCAGGGAAACUUGUGCUAAUACCGAAUGUGCCCUUCGGGGGAAAGAUUUAUCGCCAUUAGAGCGGCCCGCGUAUGAUUAGCUAGUUGGUGAGGUAACGGCUCACCAAGGCGACGAUCAGUAGCUGGUCUGAGAGGAUGACCAGCCACACUGGGACUGAGACACGGCCCAGACUCCUACGGGAGGCAGCAGUGGGGAAUCUUGCGCAAUGGGCGAAAGCCUGACGCAGCCAUGCCGCGUGAAUGAUGAAGGUCUUAGGAUUGUAAAAUUCUUUCACCGGGGACGAUAAUGACGGUACCCGGAGAAGAAGCCCCGGCUAACUUCGUG
Molecule: ribosomal RNA, 433 nt
Filed under: uncultured bacterium
Lineage: Bacteria
Description: partial 16S ribosomal RNA
Rfam family: Bacterial small subunit ribosomal RNA
Source: RNAcentral